Molecule: non-coding RNA, 732 nt
Organism: Pantherophis guttatus
Lineage: Eukaryota; Metazoa; Chordata; Lepidosauria; Squamata; Colubridae
Source: RefSeq, a predicted model, not a curated record
CAGUAAACGGCCCAGCCUAUCUCAAGAAGAGCUGGGAGGAAGGGGGUGGCAAUACUGAACUUCGCAGACCUUCCCCGGAAGGAAUUCUAGCUGCCCGGGAUGCUUGGUUGAACCCAGAGAUCUUAGCUUCUUCGCCAUAACCAGGAUCUACUGUCCUUCAUGAGCUUAUAGGUUUCCCGGACGCGCAGCUGAGCCGAAAGCACCUUCUGUUCAAGGUCAAGGAAAGAGAGAGGAUGACCAACCAGCAGAGGCGGUAGGGCAGAUGGCGAGCAGACGAGCCUGGAUCGUCACCAGCAACCAAGCAAGAUCCGAGGUGGUUCUGCCUUGGAGACACUCCUUGCCCGCCUACGGCUGACAACUUGUCCCUUCGCCACCGAAACGCAUGAGUGAGUCAGGAAUUCGCAGCUGACGACCGGGAUCCUGCUAAACCUUGGUCUGAUGGAUGCCUCUGCCACCCCCUGCAUCGCGGGCUCGUAGCACGGGUUCUCUAGACCCCACCUCCGAGGCUGAAAGUAGUACGUGUUAUGGACCCCUGACCCUUUUCUCCUCCGCCUCCUCCUCCUCUUCUCUGUUGGGACCAGCGUUCGGGAGAAGAUUAGAAGCUGGAAGAGUUGGAAUCCUUCCAAAAUAACGACGAUAAUAUCGAGUUCGGGAACAGAUGCUUUCAGAAGCAAGUUAUCUAAGGGAGAACUAAGGCGUGAUAUCGUGGCAUAAAAUAAUCUUUGUAAACUA